AUUGAACGCUGGCGGCAGGCCUAACACAUGCAAGUCGAGCGGAUGAAGGGAGCUUGCUCCUGGAUUCAGCGGCGGACGGGUGAGUAAUGCCUAGGAAUCUGCCUGGUAGUGGGGGAUAACGUCCGGAAACGGGCGCUAAUACCGCAUACGUCCUGAGGGAGAAAGUGGGGGAUCUUCGGACCUCACGCUAUCAGAUGAGCCUAGGUCGGAUUAGCUAGUUGGUGGGGUAAAGGCCUACCAAGGCGACGAUCCGUAACUGGUCUGAGAGGAUGAUCAGUCACACUGGAACUGAGACACGGUCCGGACUCCUACGGGAGGCAGCAGUGGGGAAUGUUGGACAAUGGGCGAAAGCCUGAUCCAGCCAUGCCACGUGUGUGAAGAAGGUCUUCGGAUUGUAAAGCAGUUUAAGUUGGGAGGAAGGGCAGUAAGUUAAUACCUUGCUGUUUUGACGUUACCAGCAGAAUAAGCACCGGCUAACUUCGUG
Molecule: ribosomal RNA, 484 nt
Filed under: uncultured bacterium
Lineage: Bacteria
Description: partial 16S ribosomal RNA
Rfam family: Bacterial small subunit ribosomal RNA
Source: RNAcentral